Molecule: transfer RNA, 73 nt
Filed under: Ailuropoda melanoleuca (giant panda)
Lineage: Eukaryota; Metazoa; Chordata; Mammalia; Carnivora; Ursidae
Rfam family: tRNA
About the family: Transfer RNA (tRNA) molecules are approximately 80 nucleotides in length. Their secondary structure includes four short double-helical elements and three loops (D, anti-codon, and T loops).
Source: Rfam by way of RNAcentral
GCCUGGUAGGCUCAGUUUGUAAAGCAUGUGACUCUUGAUCUCAGGGUUGUGAGUUCAAGUCCCAUGUUGGGCA